UCACCUCACGCCGUCUAUCUCUCAAUCUCGCUUAGUCGCUCUCAUUCUCACGAUUCUCUCGCAAUUGGUCGUCCACGCCUCCACGGUCCAUCUCCGGCGACGUCCUCCAGCUUCUCUCACGCUCCCCACCGCAUCUCUUAUCUCCGGCGAGCGGCUGCAGGCUUGCAGCUCCUAUAUUCUACAGCCCUUCAGCUCCAGUAGACUCAAAGUACUGCCGCUCCUAUAUUCUACAGCCCUUCAGGCUUCAGCUCCAGUAGACUCAAAGUAAUUAAAAUGGAAUCAACAGCUUCUCAUUCGCAUCCACUGCCACUUACUUCUGAACCAUCAAAGCAACAAAGCGCUUUCACAAAUGAUGAGGGUACUAGUAGAAAACGAUCAGCAGCAGAAGAUUCCUCAGAAAAACCUCCUUUAGCUCCUAUAAAGAGAGGUAGAAGUCAAUAUUGGAAGCACUUCGAAAAACAAUGAAGAAAACGAGUCAAGGAGAAAGAAAAAUAGGGAUAUGCAACUACUGCAAAUCUGAAGUACCAACUCUUACUGUGAGUACUACUGGACUGAAGUAUCACUUGGAGAAGAAGUGUGAAUUAAGUCCAUUUUAUCCUGCGAGUGGAAAUGACAAGGGCCAAACUGUGUUGACAAAGGAGACUAUGGGAAAAGGAAGUCAAAUAGUGCCUCAUUCUUUUAAUAAAAAAAGGUGUGAGUUGAAGGUCACGGAAUAUGUUAUUACAGAUGAAGUGUCCUUUCGGGCUGUUGAGGGAAAAUGAUUCGUUGCGCUUGUCCAUGAAUUAGAACCAAGGUUUCGAAUUCCCGACCGAAAGAAGGUAGCAGGUAUGGUUUUUGAAUUGUUUUUAGAUAUGAAGAAGAGGAUUAAAAGUGUGCUCAAUGGGAAGAGAGUGAGUAUUAAUACAAACACAUGGACAUCAGUUCAGAAUAUCAAUUACAUGGUCAUCACUGCUCACUUUCUAGAUAAUGAUUGGAAAUUACAUAAGAGAAUAAUUAAUUUCACGAAAAUCACUAGUCAUGCAAGAUGAUUGAGGUUUGCUUGAGAGAAUGGGGGAUAGAAAAAUUAUUUUCCAUUGUGGUUGAUAAUGCUUCUUCGAAUGAUAUUGCGAUUGAUUAUUUGAAGAAAAGAUUGCAUAUUGAAAACACAUUGCAAUUUGAUGGAAAGUAUUUGCAUUUGAGAUGUGCUUCCAUAUACUCAACUUGAUUGUCAAGGAUGGAUUAAAGGAGCUUAAUUAUGCAAUUGAGUCUAUAAGAAAUGUUGUUGUGUUUAUUCAUUCUUCCCCUUCUAGAUUGAGUAAAUUUAGAGAGUAUGCGGUACUAGCUAAGUUUUCUUGUAUGUCAACGAUGCCCAUGGAUGUGAAAACGAGGUGGAAUUCAACAUAUAAAAUGCUUGAUGUUGCAUUGAAAUAUAGAAGGGUGUUUGAAAGAAUGGUUGACGAAUGGAUUCCUUUCAUGAGAUACUUUGAUGAAAAGGAUGACAAGGGUAAACAAAGAAUGGGACCUCCACUUAAAGAGGAUUGGGAUAAUGCAAAAGCAUUUGUUCAUUUUCUCAAAAAAUUUUAUGAUGUCACUUUAGAGUUAAGUGCAUCAAAAACUCCUACAUCCCAAAUGAUUUCUGUGUCUAUGUUUGCUCUAAAAAUCGAGAUUGAAAAAAAUGUGAUGAUUCGGAUCCGAUUAUGUCAGAGGUUGCAAAAGCAAUGAAGGUGAAAUUUGACAAGUACAGGGGUGAUUGGAAUAAAAUGAAUCCAGUAAUUUUUAUUGCCAAUGUUUUGGACCCGAGGAACAAGCUGAAAAUGCUUCAAGUUAGUGUGAAUAAAUUGAAGAGAUUUGGAGAUUCUAACCAAGAGGUUCGAGAGUUGUGUGACCGAUUUAAAAAUGACUUGGUGACUUUGUGGGUUGAGUAUAAGGGAGUGAGUUGGUUACUCAGAAACCACUUCCAGAAAAUAGUGGUAAUGGAGUUCAAGAAGAAGUUUCUCAAGACCAACUAAAUCAGAUAUCUAAUGAAGUGGAUAAGUACUUAGCCGAUGAGAUGGAGAAGCGAUCUAAUCCCUGUUUUGAUCAUUUAGAAUGGUGGAAAGGAAGUGGAACAAGGUAUCCAAUCCUUUCGCUCAUUGCAAAAGAUAUCUUUGCAAUUCCAAGCUCAACCGUAGCUAGUGAAUCCGCUUUUAGCUUGGGCAAAAGAGUUGUAGAUCCUUUUAGGACUAGUUUGAGUCUAAAAAUGGUUGAGACAUUGGUGUGCACCAAUGAUUGGCUCAAAGCGGAUGAUUUUAGCUUAUACAAGGAUCCGAUCGAUGAUGACCUUGCUUUUUAUCAAGAAAUUGAAGAAAUCGAAAAAAUCACUCAACCAUUACUCAAGAGACUCGAGAUGGUUCUCCAAAUUAAUCUUCUACUAGUUGAUCCACCAAAUGAUGAGGUUAAUAUUUCUAGAUGAUUUCGACAAGAUGAAGGGUUUGGUGUUCAAGAAUCAAGAUCAAGACAACUACUCCCUCUGUCCCAUUAAAAAUGAAACGUUUUCCUUUUUGGCCUGUCCCAUUAAAAAUGAAACGUUUCUAAAAAUGGAAACAAUACUCUCUCUACUUUUUCUUUUCUCUUACUUUACUCUCUCUUCAUUAACUCACAAAACAACACUACAUAAAAUCUCGUGCCAAAAAGCAAAUGUUGCAUAUUUAAUGGGACGGAGGGAGUACUAGUUUUUGCUAAUUAUUGUGAUGGAGUUUGUUCAAACUUUAUGGUGUGUUUUUUUGUACUUGGUUGUGUUGUAUUUUGAUUAUGGAGAUAAGAACACUAUUAAUUUUAUUGUGUUGAAGUUUUAUUAA
Molecule: long non-coding RNA, 2816 nt
Organism: Salvia splendens (bonfire salvia)
Lineage: Eukaryota; Viridiplantae; Streptophyta; Magnoliopsida; Lamiales; Lamiaceae
Exons: 4
Source: RefSeq, a predicted model, not a curated record